AUUGAACGCUGGCGGCAGGCCUAACACAUGCAAGUCGAACGGUAACAGGAAGCAGCUUGCUGCUUCGCUGACGAGUGGCGGACGGGUGAGUAAUGUCUGGGAAGCUGCCUGAUGGAGGGGGAUAACUACUGGAAACGGUAGCUAAUACCGCAUAAUGUCGCAAGACCAAAGAGGGGGACCUUCGGGCCUCUUGCCAUCGGAUGUGCCCAGAUGGGAUUAGCUUGUUGGUGGGGUAACGGCUCACCAAGGCGACGAUCCCUAGCUGGUCUGAGAGGAUGACCAGCCACACUGGAACUGAGACACGGUCCAGACUCCUACGGGAGGCAGCAGUGGGGAAUAUUGCACAGUGGGCGCAAGCCUGAUGCAGCCAUGCCGCGUGUAUGAAGAAGGCCUUCGGGUUGUAAAGUACUUUCAGCGGGGAGGAAGGGAGUAAAGUUAAUACCUUUGCUCAUUGACGUUACCCGCAGAAGAAGCACCGGCUAACUCCGUG
Molecule: ribosomal RNA, 490 nt
Filed under: uncultured bacterium
Lineage: Bacteria
Description: partial 16S ribosomal RNA
Rfam family: Bacterial small subunit ribosomal RNA
Source: RNAcentral